GACAUUUGGUACAGACAUUGUUGAAGCCACCUGGUCCCAGAAGACCCCAGAAGGUGGCCACAUUCACUGGUGCUGGGCAAGGCAGUUACAGGUGAAGCCUGGUGCCAGAUGUGU
Molecule: ribosomal RNA, 114 nt
Filed under: Panthera pardus (leopard)
Lineage: Eukaryota; Metazoa; Chordata; Mammalia; Carnivora; Felidae
Source: RNAcentral